Molecule: long non-coding RNA, 3310 nt
Organism: Mesocricetus auratus (golden hamster)
Lineage: Eukaryota; Metazoa; Chordata; Mammalia; Rodentia; Cricetidae
Exons: 2
Source: RefSeq, a predicted model, not a curated record
GGAAGCAGCCGCCACGCGCGGAGCCACUUCCUGUUUACUCGACGGGAAAGGUGCAGGUUGCCCGGGGAGGUUCCUGGCUGAGGACCGAGGUGGAAAAGGGAAGCCGCUGACUCGCGCGGAAGGCGGGGCUGGCGCCAGGGGCGUCGCCCCGACAGUGCGUCCGCGCGCAGUGGCUCAGGGCGCCCUUCACCUUCUCCAAGGUUACGGUGCGGUUCGGGGCGUGGCGCUCCGCGGAGGUGUGCGUGCCUGCUCGGGGGCGGUGGGGGGGGUGUUUGGAAGCGCGGCCACGGGGGUGUUGGCUUCCGGGGACUGUGCACGCCCCGUGUGUGGGCACCUCAGAUAGGUACAGACAUCUCAGGGUGUGUGCUGCCCGCCAUGUGUGUGCAUGCGGGCAUCGAGGGCCACCCUUGGGUUUGUGGCUUCUUACGGUUUGUGCACUGCGGUGGUUGGGUACCUGAGGGCCACGUCUAGGGUGUGUGCGGGCAUGAUUGGAUGUCGGGCAUGAUUCGCACGAGUGAGCUACCACAUCGCAGACUAGUGCUGCUGAGAGGGCUUAGGAAGAAAACCCCAUUGGCCGUUCUUGGGCCCUGCAAAGCCUUCUUGGGACAGACGCCCUCCUUAGCCCACUUCAUCCAAUCCAGCGGGUUCUCCGUGGAAGAAUGGUUCCUUUAAGUGGGUGGCGCACGUAUGCUCUUCAUAAUAGGCACGUCUCCUGGCCUGCAGUCCUGGACCCAGCUGUCCUUCCAAGAGUCUAACUGACAGCCCCCCCCCCCAUGCCAUCCUCCAUUGCUCUGUCCCCGCAGGCUCCAAGGGCUGUGCAUCCAUGGCAGUUUAAAUCCUACCUUCACCAGUGGGCACUUCUGACUUGGCUGACCCCGUCAUGUUCCCUCUUACUCUCCCCCCCCCCCCCCCGUCACCCCAAAGCCUUUUUUUUGUUGUGGGGUGCUGCACACGAGAUACAGCAAGCCAGGCAUGGUGGCGCACAUCUUCACUCAGGAGGCAGAGGCAGGCGGAUCUCUGUGAGUUCGAGGUCGGCCUGGUCUACAGAGCGAGUUCCAGGACAGGAUCCAAAGCAAAAACCAAGGGGGGGGGGAGAUAAAGCAGUAAUCACCGAGGGAGCAUUUGCCAGAAACACUUCCCCUUCUGCAGAAACAGGCCAGACCGGCACAGGUGUGUGGGUGCUGGCAGAAACUACCAGGCCUCUGGGUCAGAGAGGAAGAACUCUUAGGAGGAAAGCCGUGGAGGGUGUCGGAGCACCUGCUCCCACAGGGUUUCCAGCCGUGUGCCUGGGUUGGUGGAGAUAAUGGUCUGCUAAGACGAUGUGGCCCAUCAGUCACCCACGAGACCUGGGUUAGAUUCAGGAGUGAGUGACAGCCCAGGGUCGCUUUAGCUCUGGACCUGUCGUCCGUCUCUUGAUAGUCUCCAGGGCUAGUCAGUCAGCCUGCAAGACCUUUUACGUCGUGGCUUCUUCAGAGUCUAGUUGACAGGGCUGAGGUCACUGGGACACGGAUAGAAAGCAGCCGCCACGACGUAAGAGAUCCCCACCCGGGCUCCUGUCUCUGUGGAUAAUGGGGGAUGAGCUACUGACAAGGGAGGGGCAGAUGACCAGUUAAAUGCCUUUAAGACAAUAAGCAAAUGUCUUUCUGUGGCAUGCACACGUCCAGGGUGUAAGGGGUAAAUCAUCGUGGUCCAUUUUCUGUCUGAGGCGUCUAGUAGAGCCACAGCUGAGCAGGUGAUCUGUGCCUGUCCCCAGCAGAGGGCAUAAGCAGCUGGAGCCUGCCUGUCUGUAGACACCCUCAGUUCACCUUGAGGUUGAAAGCCCCAUCUGCUGCAAGACAGAAGCCAUGUAUCAGAAAAGGGGAGGAGAAUCUCCAGCCCCGGGAGGAUGCAGGAAGGGAGGGCUCCGUGCUAGACAAGCAGGAAGGGCAGCAACACUCUGUCCCAGCCCGUGGCGGAAAAGGGCAGGGAUCUUCAGAUUUGGGGACUACAAAAACGCAUGGCCUCACAUCGUGAGGAAUCUGCAUACUUGUCCAUUUUGGCCACUCGGACACCCGGCUUCUGCUGAAGUGGAAAUAACCCUGUCUCAAUUUUGCUACGAAGUCAGCAGCAUUCUCACCGUGAGUAAGGGCCACUGUGUCGCACGCCGGGCUGCCAGGACAGACCACGGACUGGCUUGUUGGAAGCAACAGCAGCAUGCAGCGAGAUUCCUGAGAGCAGCCUACCAGGACCACAGUGUGUGGGGCGGGGUGGGGCGGGGCGGGGGAAGGACUCCUCCUGACUCCUGAGGACACACACGUCUUCCUCUGUAUGUUGCCAGCCCACUCUGGGUGUCCCUCAGCCUGUGGCCGUCUUUACACAGUUGUGUCCACUUCCUCUUUUGUAAGGGUCCCUGACAUAUUUGCACAGGCGCACCCUAACUGCCUCCGCUUUACCUGGCCAUCAUCAAAGGCUCUGCUUUCCGAAGAUGAUCAGUCACCGAUACAGGCUGGGAUUUGAAUGUACAUUAUCUAUCUGGUAAUGGUGGAUUCAUCUAGGCACAAGUGAUGACACAUUGCAUGUAGAUGACCCCCACAUGGGUACACAGGUCAGGGGCGGGGGCGAGGAGCCAGGGGGCAAUGCCCAAGACUAGGGGAAUAUGGUUUGGGGGCCCCAGAGCUUGGAUUGGCCCUGGGGCCCAGUAGCCUAUUCCAGGGACUUUUCAGGGGGCUGUUCCCAGAUUGGCCAGCAGAUGUCGCAACUACCCACACCCAGCCUUCCUGGGGAGGCAGCAGCUUCACAGCUUGUGUUUUUAAAGUCCCAGGUGAAGCCAUUAUCUUCCUGCAGAAGACUCGGAACCCCGGCCUUAAAGAGUGGAUUCUCAUCUUGAUUUCCCGAUGCUGUGACAUAGCAUUUUGCAAAAAUCUGUGGGUCCCCACCCUUGCCCUCUUUUUAAGGGUCCCAGGCCUCACACACGCUAGAGGCUAGUGCUCCACCACUUGGGAUGCUUCACCACAAGGCUGAGCCCCACCUCUGAUGCCCGUGAGGACCCUGAAGAACCUGGGGGUCUGUCUCUUGGAUCUGCCCUCCUGGAAGCACCACUGGAAGUUGUCCACAGGAGGCAAUCCUCGCACUGUCGGGAGCUCUGCCGUGGAACGCCCCACGUUGCCCUUAGCCACUGACUCAGAGCCUGACUCAGAGCCUCCACCACGUAAGCAGAGGUCGCUUUGACCAAGAACCGGGUUCCCAGGCUGAAAAGAUGGCUCAGCAGGUAGAGCGCCCUGCUGCCACACCUCAUGGCCUGUAUACAUACUAAAUAAAUUUAAAAAACAAA